UCGAAUGUUUGGUUCUUUCAGGUGCUGAUGCUGGCAAAACAUUCGCCUUGCACUACUGCGUUCACAUAACAUAAGCGGGGUGCUGUCCCAAGAUGAGCAAAAUUCCAAGAAAUCAUCUGAUCAAUCAUGUUCACAUGCUUGAAUCGAUGGGGAAAAGGACGAAGUGACUCAGACGGGAAUGGCUACGAGAUCACAUGUGGGCAUCGAAGGCGAUGAUUGGUACCCUUCGCGAGCGUGGAUUCAAUAGGAGGGUCCAUCUCUUGCUAAAGGCUGUCCCCAUAUUCGC
This 286-nucleotide long non-coding RNA is filed under the name Eucalyptus grandis. RNAcentral's name for it is "long non-coding RNA (EGRA_LNC001119)". The record is from RNAcentral. Lineage: Eukaryota; Viridiplantae; Streptophyta; Magnoliopsida; Myrtales; Myrtaceae.